RNAcentral lists this ribosomal RNA (253 nucleotides) under uncultured bacterium. Its description in RNAcentral is "partial 16S ribosomal RNA". It matches the Rfam family "Bacterial small subunit ribosomal RNA", at positions 524 to 776 of the family's 1533-position model. The record is from RNAcentral.
UACAGAGGGGGCAAGCGUUGUUCGGAAUUACUGGGCGUAAAGGGCGCGUAGGCGGCCUUCUAAGUCGAACGUGAAAUCCCCGGGCUCAACCCGGGAACUGCGUCCGAUACUGGCAGGCUUGAAUCCGGGAGAGGGAAGCGGAAUUCCAGGUGUAGCGGUGAAAUGCGUAGAUAUCUGGAGGAACACCGGUGGCGAAGGCGGCAUCCUGGACCGAAACUGACGCUGAGGAGCGAAAGCCAGGGGAGCAAACGGG